Molecule: ribosomal RNA, 505 nt
Filed under: uncultured bacterium
Lineage: Bacteria
Description: bacterial SSU rRNA
Rfam family: Bacterial small subunit ribosomal RNA
Source: RNAcentral
UAGUCCACGCCGUAAACGAUGGAUACUAGCUGUUCGACAUUUAUGUUGAGUGGCUAAGCGAAAGUGAUAAGUAUCCCACCUGGGGAGUACGUUCGCAAGAAUGAAACUCAAAGGAAUUGACGGGGGGCCCGCACAAGCGGUGGAGCAUGUGGUUUAAUUCGAUGAUACGCGAGGAACCUUACCAGGGCUUAAAUGUAAGUUGCAUUAGCUAGAGAUAGUUAUUUCUUCGGACUACUUACAAGGUGCUGCAUGGUUGUCGUCAGCUCGUGCCGUGAGGUGUCAGGUUAAGUCCUAUAACGAGCGCAACCCCUGUUGUUAGUUGCCAGCGAUUCAAGUCGGGAACUCUAACAAGACUGCCAGUGCAAACUGUGAGGAAGGUGGGGAUGACGUCAAAUCAUCACGGCCCUUACGUCCUGGGCUACACACGUGCUACAAUGGUAGGUACAGAGAGCAGCCACUACGCGAGUAGGAGCGAAUCUAUAAAACCUAUCACAGUUCGGAUCGG